This 507-nucleotide ribosomal RNA is filed under the name uncultured bacterium. RNAcentral describes it as "partial 16S ribosomal RNA". It matches the Rfam family "Bacterial small subunit ribosomal RNA", at positions 28 to 507 of the family's 1533-position model. The record is from RNAcentral.
GACGAACGCUGGCGGCGUGCCUAAUACAUGCAAGUCGAACGCAUUUUCUUUCAUUGUAGCUUGCUACACCGACAGAAAAUGAGUGGCGACCGGGUGAGUAACACGUGGGUAACUUGCCAAUCCGCGGGGGAUAACACUUGGAAACAGGUGCUAAUAUCGAAUAAUUCGGUUUACUGCGUACUACAUGGUUGAAUGGCGCUUUUGCGUCGCUGAUGGAUGGACUCGCGGUGGAUUAGCCAGAUGGUGGGGUCACUGCCUACCAAGGCUGCGAUGCCUAGCCGACCUGAGAGGGUGAGCGGCCACACUGGGACUGAGACACGGCCCAGACUCCUACGGGAGGCAGCAGUAGGGAAUCUUCGGCAAUGGGCGCAAGGCUUACCGAACAACGCCGCGUGAGGGAAGAAGGUUUUCGGAUUGUAAAACUCGGUUGUUAGGGGAGAACAAGCAUGAGAGUGGAAAGUUCAUCCCUUGACGGUAUCUAACCAGAAAGCAACGGCUAACUACGUG